UGAAUCUGGUCUUGGGACACUGUCAGGUGGGCAGUUUGACUGGGGCGGUCGCCUCCCAAAAGGUAACGGAGGCGCUCAAAGGUUCUCUCAGUACGGUCGGAAAUCGUACGUAGAGUGUAAAGGCAAAAGAGAGCUUGAUUGCAAGACAUACAGGUCGAGCAAGGAUGAAAAUCGGACUUAGUGAUCCGGUGGUUCUGCGUGGAAGGGCCAUCGCUCAACGGAUAAAAGCUACCCUGGGGAUAACAGGCUUAUCUCCCCC
Molecule: ribosomal RNA, 259 nt
Filed under: Clostridioides difficile
Lineage: Bacteria; Bacillati; Bacillota; Clostridia; Peptostreptococcales; Peptostreptococcaceae
Description: partial 23S ribosomal RNA
Rfam family: Bacterial large subunit ribosomal RNA
Source: RNAcentral